GCGGGGAUAGCUCAGCUGGGAGAGCGCCAGACUGAAGUCUACUUUAGUCCAUUAAUCUGGAGGUCGUGUGUUCGAUCCACACUCACCGCA
Transfer RNA from Penicillium steckii, 90 nucleotides. It matches the Rfam family "tRNA". From Rfam's summary of the family: Transfer RNA (tRNA) molecules are approximately 80 nucleotides in length. Their secondary structure includes four short double-helical elements and three loops (D, anti-codon, and T loops). The record is from Rfam. NCBI's taxonomy places the organism in Eukaryota, Fungi, Ascomycota, Eurotiomycetes, Eurotiales, Aspergillaceae.